Magallana angulata is the source of this 2705-nucleotide long non-coding RNA. RefSeq lists it as uncharacterized. The transcript has 4 exons. The record is from RefSeq and is a predicted model, not a curated record. Lineage: Eukaryota; Metazoa; Mollusca; Bivalvia; Ostreida; Ostreidae.
AUUUGGAGCAAUUCUGCAAUUGUCUGCUACAUUACGCGUAUAUGGGAGGCAUUUUAACUGUGGUGAAUGCCUGUCAGAUUAUUAUAACUAAGCAGAGUGCAGUGAAAUUAAUAGCAUUAAUGUAGGCUUAAAGCUUUGUUAUGUAAAUGUCAACAAUACGGUGCGUCGAUGUAUCUAUCUUGUAAAUGUUGAUAUCAUAUGCAAUGUCAACCCGUGCACUCACGGGUCAAAGUCCAGUAAGAAUAAUAAAUUUUGACUUGUGAAAGAACUUAAUCAUUUUAAGAUUGAUAAAGCCACAAAAGGGGCAACUGUUUCUUUAAAAGAUUUCUUGUUUUAAACUCUAUUUAUGCAAUAACGAUUCUUUGAUCUUUUGCAGUUUCAUACCAUUGUUUUCCGUCUCUCAGUUCCUAUGAUGAAAGCAGUCAACUUGAUAGGGUCAGUGUCGGAGUUACAUGUACACAAUCCUAAAGGUCCAAGUACAGCACCUGAAUCACAUGUGACUAAAGAAGAUUUGAUGUCCAAACCCUGCAAGAAUGGAAGUGCAAAUGAAUCGGAUGUUACACCACAAGUGUUCCUUUGAGAUCGAAGACGAUGAUGGAGCUAAAGUUCUUGCAAGCCCAGUUGCAGCCAAGAAGACUAAAAGCAGCUCAAAUGAUAUAUCUUUGUUGAAGGUUAAAUGGUCUAAAGAUGAGACGGAAGCAAUCAAAUGCUUCUUCCAAGGUACAUCUUUGAUAGAAAAGACAACAAUACUGGUAACCUACCUAGAAAAUAUGUUUUAAGGUCACCUUUAUUAUUAAGUGAUAAUUUCCUAUUUUUUCUGCUUGUCACCAAUUGUGUAUUGCUAUUGAAAUAUUUAAAACUUCUUGAAAAUGUCAAUGUCAUUUGCUUUCUACUUUAGUACAAAACGUUUAUGUGAUAAGAACACACCUUUUUAAAUUGUUUACAAACAUAGCAUGGUGAAAAACAUGUGCAAGUGAAUAUUAAUAGUCUGUCCCAAGUUAUUUCUUCCAUUACUUUUUGAUUAUUUUUAAUAAAAUUAGUAUACAUAUUUGUGAAAGAAAUACAGUUUAAAUUGACAAAAGGGAAAAUAUCCAAGACAUCUUCAUUGACAUAUUAUCAUUUUUCACUCGUAAAAGUUCACAGGAAUGGAAACAAAUUUCUCAUGGAGAUUUAUAAUGUGAAAUGUUUACAUCCUUUCACCAUUCGGAACCCACUUGGAAUACCUCAUACAAUUUUUCAACGAUGUCAUCCAGGCUAUUUCAUGGCGGAUGCAAUGCAAAAUCCCUAUAGGCUUUCUAUUUUGGGUUGUGUAUUGAAGCCUAAAGCGGUAGAGGGGACAUUUCAAAACAGAUAAUCUUGAUAAAGUGGAUGAAUGUAGUUUGAGCAUGAAUGUAUUUAUGAUAAUCAAAAUAAUAAGCAAGAAGAAGUGGGAGCAAAAACUCGUGACAGAGUAUGAUAUGCCUUGUUUCUAUACAUAGGUACAUGUAUUAUCUUUUUUACAUGCAUAUGUGACAAUAUAAUAAUUCUGAUUGUUCAUAUCAUUUUUAAAAUCUUUUCAAGGUAAAAGAAAAAUCCAGGAGUUUUUGGAAAAACAUAAAAUGUAUUCAUUGGAAGGGCUUAAUGAGAGGACCAAAUUAUUGAAGAUUAGAUCUAAAAUCUUCAACGAGAGAAAAACAACAAGACUUAGGACAUUUAAAAAAUUAAAUGAAAUGAAAUCAAUGAACAAGCAACAAUGAAUCUCAUCAUUUUACAUGUAAUGUAACUGUAAUGUAACAACAAGACGUAGGGCUUGUAUGAUAAUAUAUUUUUAGCUCACCGAGACGAAGUUGGGGGGAGCUUAUGCUAUACCGUCGGCGUCUGCGUCCGGACCUGGUAAAAGUUUUUGUUGCAGGUCCUCUAUCUAAGUUAUUACUUAUCCUAUCUUCACUAAACUUGCAUGUAUGAUGCAUCUGGACCUUUUUAUGAACUUGAAAGACUUGGAUGCUAAAUCUGGGCCAUGAAUUUCAGAUGCUGGAGGAGGUUAAGGUUUUUGGAACAUGUUAAAGUUUUUGGUGCAGGUGCCCUUUGGUGGCAAUUUCUAAGUUACUACUGAUCCAAACUUGCAUGGAUGAUGCGUCUUAUGAUACUGAUGCACCAUACAGGCUUGAAUGCUGAAUCUGAGCCAUAGGUUUCGGAUGCUGGAGGAGGAUAAGGUUUUUAGAGCUGGUUAAAGUUUUUGGAGCAGGUGCCCUCUAAUGAUUAUAUCUUAGCUACUACUGGUCCUAACUUCAUCAAACUUGCAUGGAUGAUGCAUCUUAUGAUACUAAUGCACCUGACAGGCUUGAAUGCUGAAUCUUAGCCAUAGGAUUCGGAUGCUGGAUGAGGUUUAGUUAUAUUUGAACAGGUCACAUCUUUUAUAGAUAAUAGCUUGCAUAAUAGUUAAUUUAAUUAUAAUAUAAUGAAUCAUAGAGGUAGCUUCAGAUGCAGAUCCUGAUCUCUAUUACCAAGGAUGUUUUAAAAAAAAUCUCCUACCUCACUCUAACCUGAUUGAUAGAUGUGUUUGUUGUGAAAUGAUAUAACAUGAUUCAUAUAGUAUUGUAUGAUUUGAUACACUAUUGUUUUAUAUAAUACAAUAUUAUAUCAUAUAUUAUAUCAUAAAAAGUUAUUCAAUACAAAGUGAUAUUGUAUCACUAUUUUUGUGCAUUAUGAUAUGAUAUUGUAUCAUU